GUCGAACGCUGGCGGCGUGCUUAACACAUGCAAGUCGAACGGAAAGGCCCUGCUUUUGUGGGGUGCUCGAGUGGCGAACGGGUGAGUAACACGUGAGUAACCUGCCCUUGACUUUGGGAUAACAUCAGGAAACUGGGGCUAAUACCGGAUAGGAGCUCCUGCUGCAUGGUGGGGGUUGGAAAGUUUCGGCGGUUGGGGAUGGACUCGCGGCUUAUCAGCUUGUUGGUGGGGUAGUGGCUUACCAAGGCUUUGACGGGUAGCCGGCCUGAGAGGGUGACCGGCCACAUUGGGACUGAGAUACGGCCCAGACUCCUACGGGAGGCAGCAGUGGGGAAUAUUGCACAAUGGGCGGAAGCCUGAUGCAGCAACGCCGCGUGCGGGAUGACGGCCUUCGGGUUGUAAACCGCUUUCGCCUGUGACGAAGCGUGAGUGACGGUAAUGGGUAAAGAAGCACCGGCUAACUACGUG
RNAcentral lists this ribosomal RNA (468 nucleotides) under uncultured bacterium. RNAcentral's name for it is "partial 16S ribosomal RNA". It matches the Rfam family "Bacterial small subunit ribosomal RNA", at positions 28 to 507 of the family's 1533-position model. The record is from RNAcentral.